Molecule: ribosomal RNA, 565 nt
Filed under: Aspergillus fumigatus
Lineage: Eukaryota; Fungi; Ascomycota; Eurotiomycetes; Eurotiales; Aspergillaceae
Description: eukaryotic LSU rRNA
Rfam family: 5.8S ribosomal RNA (bases 218-371)
Source: RNAcentral
UUCCGUAGGGGUGACCUGCGGAAGGAUCAUUACCGAGUGAGGGCCCUCUGGGUCCAACCUCCCACCCGUGUCUAUCGUACCUUGUUGCUUCGGCGGGCCCGCCGUUUCGACGGCCGCCGGGGAGGCCUUGCGCCCCCGGGCCCGCGCCCGCCGAAGACCCCAACAUGAACGCUGUUCUGAAAGUAUGCAGUCUGAGUUGAUUAUCGUAAUCAGUUAAAACUUUCAACAACGGAUCUCUUGGUUCCGGCAUCGAUGAAGAACGCAGCGAAAUGCGAUAAGUAAUGUGAAUUGCAGAAUUCAGUGAAUCAUCGAGUCUUUGAACGCACAUUGCGCCCCCUGGUAUUCCGGGGGGCAUGCCUGUCCGAGCGUCAUUGCUGCCCUCAAGCACGGCUUGUGUGUUGGGCCCCCGUCCCCCUCUCCCGGGGGACGGGCCCGAAAGGCAGCGGCGGCACCGCGUCCGGUCCUCGAGCGUAUGGGGCUUUGUCACCUGCUCUGUAGGCCCGGCCGGCGCCAGCCGACACCCAACUUUAUUUUUCUAAGGUUGACCUCGGAUCAGGUAGGUCCC